CCUACGGGCGGCUGCAGUGGGGAAUCUUGCACAAUGGGGGAAACCCUGAUGCAGCAACGCCGCGUGAAGGAAGACGGUCUUCGGAUCGUAAACUUCUGUUCUUAGAGAAGAAUAAUGAUGGUAGUAACUGUUCACGUCUCGGCUAACUACGAGCCAGCAGCCGCGGUAAUACGUAGGUGGCAAGCGUUGUUCGGAAUUACUGGGCGUAAAGGGAGCGCAGGCGGGAAGCCAAGUCAGCUGUGAAAGCUACGGGCUUAACUUGUAGACUGCAGUUGAAACUGGUUGUCUUGAGUGAAGUAGAGGAGAGCGGAAUUCCGAGUGUAGCGGUGAAAUGCGUAGAUAUUCGGAAGAACACCAGUGGCGAAGGCGGCCAUCUGGGCUGUAACUGACGCUGAGGCUCGAAAGUGUGGGGAGCAAACAGGAUUAGAUACCCGAGUAGUC
Molecule: ribosomal RNA, 441 nt
Filed under: uncultured bacterium
Lineage: Bacteria
Description: partial 16S ribosomal RNA
Rfam family: Bacterial small subunit ribosomal RNA
Source: RNAcentral